RNAcentral lists this ribosomal RNA (495 nucleotides) under uncultured bacterium. RNAcentral's name for it is "partial 16S ribosomal RNA". It matches the Rfam family "Bacterial small subunit ribosomal RNA", at positions 28 to 507 of the family's 1533-position model. The record is from RNAcentral.
GACGAACGCUGGCGGCGUGCCUAAUACAUGCAAGUAGAACGCUGAAGGAGGAGCUUGCUCUUCUGGAUGAGUUGCGAACGGGUGAGUAACGCGUAGGUAACCUGCCUGGUAGUGGGGGAUAACUAUUGGAAACGAUAGCUAAUACCGCAUAAUAACAGUUGUUGCAUGACAACUGUUUGAAAGGUGCAAUUGCAUCGCUACCAGAUGGACCUGCGUUGUAUUAGCUAGUUGGUGGGGUAACGGCUCACCAAGGCGACGAUACAUAGCCGACCUGAGAGGGUGAUCGGCCACACUGGGACUGAGACACGGCCCAGACUCCUACGGGAGGCAGCAGUAGGGAAUCUUCGGCAAUGGACGAAAGUCUGACCGAGCAACGCCGCGUGAGUGAAGAAGGUUUUCGGAUCGUAAAGCUCUGUUGUAAGAGAAGAACGAGUGUGAGAGUGGAAAGUUCACACUGUGACGGUAUCUUACCAGAAAGGGACGGCUAACUACGCG